UAAAAUUAAAACUGUAGUAUUAUAAAAGCCAUAAUUAACUUUAUUAAAAACAUUUUAAGAAUAAGUAAAAGCGAUUAAAAAUUAUUAUAUAUUUUAGAAAAGUACUGUGAAGGAACAAAAUAAAAUUAUAAAAAAGAAAGAAUUAAAUACUGUACCUUUUGUAUCAUGGUUUAACUAGAUUUUACUUUUAUAUUAAAAUUCUCGAAACCUAGUGAGCUAUCUUCAAUCAGGUGUAUUAGAACAUAAGGACUAAUUGUAGCAAAAAUUUUCCUAGAACUGAAGAUAGAAAUGAAAUUUUAUUCGUACCGGGUGAUAGCUAGUUCUUCAAAAAGGCAUAGAAGGCUUCAAAUUAUGUUUUGAAAUAAUUUAAUUUAUAUUGAAUAAAUCAUAAUUUGGUUAGAUUUUUGAGGAUAAGCUCGAAAAUUUUUUAACAAGUGCAUUUUCAUUUAAAACUAAAUUUAGGCUUGAAAAUAGCCAUAAUUUUAAGAUUUUGUUAUAAUUUCAUUUAUAAUAAAAAAACACAAUAAAUUUGCUAUACAUAAACGAAGAAAAUUCUAAACCUAAAAUUGAAUUAAACUUAUGUUAAAAUGAGUAUUUUGACUAUUUUAAUUUUAAAGUUUUACAACUUAAAACUAACUCUAAUAUAGUAACUUAAAAUCAUAAAAAGGAACUCGGCAAAUAUAAUAUUCUGCCUGUUUAGCAAAAACAUGGCUCCUUGUAAAAAAUAAAUAGGGAGUCGGACCUGCCCGGUGAAAAUUUUUAACGGCCGCGGUACCCUGACCGUGCAAAGGUAGCAUAAUCAUUUGCCUUAUAAUUGAAGGCUAGUAUGAAAGGUUUGACAAGAAUAUAGCUGUCUCUUUACGAUUUGAUAGAAUUUUAUUUGUAGGUGAAGAAGCCUAUAUUAUAUUAAAAGACAAGAAGACCCUAUCGAGCUUUAAAAAAAUUAAUAGAUUUUUGCUUAAAUGACACUCAAAAAUCUGGUAUUAAAAAUUUUGGUUGGGGCGACUAAGGAACAAAAAAAGCUUCUUUUAGAAAAAAAACACUCAGGUAAUGAUCCAGAAUUAUUUUGAUUAAAGAAAUUAGUUACCGUAGGGAUAACAGCAUAAUCUUUUUUGAGAGCUCUUAUUGAAAAAAAGGUUUGUGACCUCGAUGUUGGACCAGAAUAUCCUAAAGAUGCAGCAGUCUUUAAGGGUUGGUCUGUUCGACCAUUAAAAUUCUACGUGAUCUGACUCAGUUUCGAGGUCAAUUUUUAUGUUGA
Molecule: ribosomal RNA, 1258 nt
Filed under: Latiromitra sp. MZUR BAU00612
Lineage: Eukaryota; Metazoa; Mollusca; Gastropoda; Neogastropoda; Turbinellidae
Description: 16S ribosomal RNA
Rfam family: Archaeal large subunit ribosomal RNA (bases 645-1258)
Source: RNAcentral